Molecule: ribosomal RNA, 357 nt
Filed under: Triticum aestivum (bread wheat)
Lineage: Eukaryota; Viridiplantae; Streptophyta; Magnoliopsida; Poales; Poaceae
Description: partial small subunit ribosomal RNA
Source: RNAcentral
AUGCCGAGGUGUUCAUCACGGGCGACGACUCGAGGAGGCCGACGAACAGGACGCCCUUGGACCGGCAUGGCGGGGGGAGGCCAUGUAGCACGCGUUGCUCUGGUUGCCCUGUAUCCUGGAUGCCGCCGACCACAGGGGCACCGGCUGCACGUGUUUCCCGGCCGCCUCCGACCAGUGGGGCUCUCGCGAUGUGUUACUUUGUAUCCCGGCCACCGCGGACAGCGAGGGCUCCCUCUACACGUGUUGCUUUGUUUCCCGGCCGCCGCUGACCACUCGGGCUCCGGCUUCAUUUGUUGCUCUGCGUCCAUUGCUCCUUUGGCGACGGUGAGGACGUGCCGAGAGCUCAUUCUACCAUGA